This 346-nucleotide unclassified non-coding RNA is filed under the name uncultured fungus. RNAcentral describes it as "sequence contains ITS1". The record is from RNAcentral. Lineage: Eukaryota; Fungi.
AAUCCGAGAAUUUCACCUCCAACAAUGCAAUACGAAUAGCCCCGCCUGUCUCUAUUAAUCAUUACGUGGGUGCGCAAACCAACAAAAUAGUACCUACGUCCUAUCUUAUUAUUCCAUGCUAAUAUAUUCAACGGCAUAAGCCUGCUUUAAACACUCUAAUUUUUUCACAGUAAACGAUGGGUAUCCCCUGCCCGACAACUUAAUGCCAAACAGGAUAUCCCCAAAGAUGGCCAGAGACAUCCAAGUUCCCGCACUGAGUGUGAGACCGGACGCUCCUGCCAGAAAUCCAACUACGAGCUUUUUAACUGCAACAACUUUAAUAUACGCUAUUGGAGCUGGAAUUACC